UCCUGGUUAGUUCAGUUGGUAGAGCGCUCCACUGGAAAUGGAGAGCGAGGUCCCUGGUUCGAUACCAGGACCAGGCA
This 77-nucleotide transfer RNA is filed under the name Ixodes scapularis (black-legged tick). It matches the Rfam family "tRNA". From Rfam's summary of the family: Transfer RNA (tRNA) molecules are approximately 80 nucleotides in length. Lineage: Eukaryota; Metazoa; Arthropoda; Arachnida; Ixodida; Ixodidae. The record is from Rfam by way of RNAcentral.